AAGUCGUAACAAGGUUUCCGUAGGUGAACCUGCGGAAGGAUCAUUACAAAUCCAUCCACGUCUCCUCUACCCAGAGUGCAGACCAUGUUGAACUGUUGUGCAGGGUAGGUGGCCUAAAAGCCACCUACUCUAUCUCACACGAGUCUUUACCGUUGCCCAAAUGUAUCUACACUUCAUCACGAAGCAAAAAAGUACAACUUAUAACAAUGGAUCUCUAGGCUCUU
This 224-nucleotide unclassified non-coding RNA is filed under the name fungal sp. RNAcentral describes it as "partial internal transcribed spacer region". The stretch from base 1 to 46 matches the Rfam family "Eukaryotic small subunit ribosomal RNA", at positions 1786 to 1831 of the family's 1831-position model. Lineage: Eukaryota; Fungi. The record is from RNAcentral.